Molecule: small nuclear RNA, 56 nt
Organism: Gorilla gorilla gorilla (western lowland gorilla)
Lineage: Eukaryota; Metazoa; Chordata; Mammalia; Primates; Hominidae
Source: Ensembl
GUGCUCGCUUAGACAAUACAUGUGCUAAAAUUGGAACAAUACAGAGAAGAUUAGCA